CGACGACCGGGGGGGGGGGGGUAGGCACGGUGUUUGGUUCGUCGCCGGUGCUUCCCCAUACCGUCUAGCCUUAGGGCCCAUAAAACAAAUACUUGGACGCGAUGCGAAGAUUUCAGGAAGCAAUGGGUUUGAACCGAUGAUCUGUCAAAAAAAAGAAGAUUGCUUGCUUACCUGUGCAAGAGAUCUUCCCCAUUUGGCUCAUCUCUUCUCGGAGCAAAUUGUGGCGGUCAAAGUCAAAGGUGUGUUUUAGGCCAUUGACUUGAAAAGGUAACAAAUACAUGCAACCAUCCUUUAACAACUGUUGGAGAAAAGAAACAGGAUAAAGGAUAUCCUUGAAUCACACUUGAAGUUCGCGCUCACAGAUCUUUGAAACCACACAUGCACUCAUAGUCUCAUAGUCAGUUUACAUUUACUUAGCAUUAAUUCACCUCUAUUCCUAACUCAAAAACAGAUAAAACAUAUAUAAAAUAUAUAACUGUUUGUUUGUAAAAAAUGGGUGAUGUCCACAAAAUGUCUCAUAUUUCGAUAAACAGUACAAUUGGAAAGCGUCAGCUGAAAGUAGCUCGUGUGUAAUUAAAGAAGAAACUGACCCAUAAAAGCAGCUUCGUCGUGCGACAUAUUACACUUUAUUUGAAGGCCACCAGUUGUUGGGCGCAGCCACGUGCCAGCUCAGUGAGGGAGGGGCACAGAGGUGCGAGGGUGGGCUGCGGCUUGGAUCUUUUAGUGAUUAACUAAGUUAUGGUAUUAUUCUGGAUCUUUAAUGUUUGUUAAUUGCAUAUACAUGUAAUUGUUACAAAUCAGUGGUAGGUGUUUUCAGAUUUGUGGUUUUGUUUUUGUUAUUUGAGUCAUCAGUUUAGAGCAAAGUGGAGGUUAUGAACAAGGAGGUGCAAUUGGCAAUGUACUAUCCUCUCUUUCUGGCAAGAUAUGUAAACAACCAAGUCUUUUUCCUUUUGUGUUAAACAGGGUCAACCCCUUAACCUCACUUUUGUCUCGAGUGAGUUAU
This 1003-nucleotide long non-coding RNA is filed under the name Helianthus annuus (common sunflower). Lineage: Eukaryota; Viridiplantae; Streptophyta; Magnoliopsida; Asterales; Asteraceae. The record is from RNAcentral.